RNAcentral lists this ribosomal RNA (196 nucleotides) under uncultured bacterium. RNAcentral describes it as "partial 16S ribosomal RNA". It matches the Rfam family "Bacterial small subunit ribosomal RNA", at positions 1306 to 1500 of the family's 1533-position model. The record is from RNAcentral.
UGCAACUCGCCUGCAUGAAGUUGGAAUUGCUAGUAAUCGCGAAUCAGAAUGUCGCGGUGAAUACGUUCCCGGGCCUUGUACACACCGCCCGUCACACCAUGAGAGUCGAUAACACCCGAAGCCUGUGAGCUAACCUUUUAGGAGGCAGCAGUCGAAGGUGGGGUUGAUGAUUGGGGUGAAGUCGUAACAAGGUAUC